Molecule: long non-coding RNA, 776 nt
Filed under: Carica papaya (papaya)
Lineage: Eukaryota; Viridiplantae; Streptophyta; Magnoliopsida; Brassicales; Caricaceae
Description: long non-coding RNA (CPAP_LNC014238)
Source: RNAcentral
UCCAUUGGUCUUUUUGUGUUUUUCUACCCACCUUUAUCUCCGUGACGGUGAGAUAUCGUGAUGUUCUUACUGGGCUAGUGUAGCUCACUCCUUAAUUAACCAUUUCAGAUCAGGAAGACAUGGUUCCCGAGCCCGUUCCGCAGGAGGACGACGAAGGGGAUGCCUAGAGACUCUGUAGUCAUACGCAUAGUUUAUUUUCGAGUUUUCUUUCUUAGUUAGUUUAACCUUUUAUAUUUUAAGUACGUUUUUGAUUUUUCGUGUAAGGGAUGUUAACUGAAAUUUUGAUCUCGCUUCCGCAUUCGAUAUAUUUAAAUACUCAUUUCUUUUUUUAAUAUUUCCGGGGCCGUUACAGUUGGUAUCAGAGCCGCAUUUCCUCGGACCCAUCCCUUACACUAUAGUCCUUUAAAAAAAAAAUAAAAAAAAAUACUCACCGAUGGGUCGUUACUCAACCAUUCCUUGUAAAUGCAGGUACACAGAAAUGAGGAGAGGAAGGCCCCCACUAAACCGAGCGGCCCAAGAUAAUUCGCUUCGGGAGGAUUUGGACAGAUUAUAUGAGAUGGUGGAAGCUCUCGUAGCUGCCCAGCGAAGGCAAGAGGAGAGAAGGGAGUUACCCGGACCUCCUCCGCUAGCGCAGGUUGAGCCCCCGUUACAGCAGGCUGAUCCCGAGCCACCCCGGCAGGAGCCUGUUCCUCCACAGUACCACCCGGCACCACAGCCGCGGUACGACCCGGUACCACAGCCACAGUACCAACAGGUACCGCCACAGCAUAUUCCAG